Molecule: long non-coding RNA, 397 nt
Filed under: Heterocephalus glaber (naked mole-rat)
Lineage: Eukaryota; Metazoa; Chordata; Mammalia; Rodentia; Bathyergidae
Description: lncRNA (ENSHGLG00100034725.1)
Source: RNAcentral
CUAGAAUGCAUCACAAAUAGUUACUGUCAUACCAUACAGUUUCAGAUAACUUUCCUCAAGUAAGCUAAAUUCUGGUAGGGGAGUUAUUCUCUGCAGUUUAUUUGAUGAUCUCUACCUUGCCCUGCACCCAUUUAUGCUCUCUCUUCUAGACCUUGUUCACUGCUGUUGUCCUGGUGUUACUUUCUUCUCGCAUCUUAGGAGGAAGAGCAUCUCCAAGAUGUAAGCCACAUUCUGUGACCCACCUAUUUCCUGUUCUUUGAAUGGUGGCUUUUGAGAACAGUGCCUAAGGGCUUAUAGUUCCCGGGGCAAUCUUAUGAAGAGCAAGCAGAUUUUGCAAUAUCUUAGCUCAGUUUGCGGUAGCCUUAAUUCUUGAAGCUGAAUAUGAAAGAUCAGAAAG